GUCUCCGUAGCUUAUCAACUAAAGCAUGGCACUGAAGAUGCCAAGAUGGCUGCCGCAUGCACCCGAAGACA
RNAcentral lists this transfer RNA (71 nucleotides) under Larus marinus. RNAcentral's name for it is "tRNA-Phe". It matches the Rfam family "tRNA". From Rfam's summary of the family: Transfer RNA (tRNA) molecules are approximately 80 nucleotides in length. Lineage: Eukaryota; Metazoa; Chordata; Aves; Charadriiformes; Laridae. RNAcentral also lists the same sequence under 7 other names. The record is from RNAcentral.